Molecule: long non-coding RNA, 290 nt
Filed under: Struthio camelus australis
Lineage: Eukaryota; Metazoa; Chordata; Aves; Struthioniformes; Struthionidae
Description: lncRNA (ENSSCUG00000010560.1)
Source: RNAcentral
AUUUUCUCUAUUUUCUUUGCUAUAGCACUGUGUCAAUUGCUAUACAAAGUGAAACAGCUGCCACAUUCUCAUUUUUGAAGCAGCAUCCCAGCCGUGAUGUCUCUUGCAAGCGGACAGCAUAGCUUCCUAUUUGGCAGGUGCACCUCAGAAAGACCCUGUGGAGAAAGUGUGACCUGUUCCAGCGGUUUCAUGGCUCUAGGAGUAAGACAAGCUGGCUCCUCCUCGCUCUACACAGCGACACCUUUCCAUCCUGACUUCCACAGAAAGAGCCCAGGAGACACAGUUAAAUC